RNAcentral lists this small RNA (2054 nucleotides) under Pan troglodytes (chimpanzee). RNAcentral describes it as "retained intron". The record is from RNAcentral. Lineage: Eukaryota; Metazoa; Chordata; Mammalia; Primates; Hominidae.
GGCGGGUGCUUCUAGGGCGCUCCCAGAGCCGCCUCCCCCUGUUGCUGGCAUCCCGAGCUUCCUCCCUUGCCAGCCAGGACGCUGCCGACUUGUCUUUGCCCGCUGCUCCGCAGACCGGGCUGCAAAGCUGCAACUAAUGGAGUUGGCCUCCCUGCCCACCUGUGGAAGAAACUGCGCUGAUUGAUGCGCCAUAGACUUUUUUCCCCCGACCUCGCCGGCGUCCCCUCCCACAGAUCCAGCAUCACCCAGUGAAUGUACAUUAGGGUGGUUUUCCCCCCCAGCUUCGGGCUUUGUUUGGGUUUGAUUGUGUUUGGCUCUUCGCUAAGCUGAUUUAUGCAGCAGAAGCCCCACCGGCUGGAGAGAAACAAAAGCUCUUUUCUUUGUCCCGGAGCAGGCUGCGGAGCCCUUGCAGAGCCCUCUCUCCAGUCGCCGCCGGGGCCCUUGGCCGUCGAAGGAGGUGCUUCUCGCGGAGACCGCGGGACCCGCCGUGCCGAGCCGGGAGGGCCGCAGGGGCCCUGAGAUGCCGAGCGGUGCCCGGGCCCGCUUACCUGCACCGCUUGCUCCGAGCCGCGGGGUCCGCCUGCUAGGCCUGCGGAAAACGUCCUAGCGACACUCGGCCCGCGGGCCCCGAGGUGCGCCCGGGAGGCGCGAGCGCGCGUCCGGAAGGCAGCCAGGCGGCGGGCGCGGGGCGGGCUGUUUUGCAUUAUGUGCGGCUCGGCCCUGGCUUUUUUUACCGCUGCAUUUGUCUGCCUGCAAAACGACCGGCGAGGUCCCGCCUCGUUCCUCUGGGCAGCCUGGGUGUUUUCACUUGUUCUUGGACUGGGCCAAGGUGAAGACAAUAGAUGUGCAUCUUCAAAUGCAGCAUCCUGUGCCAGGUGCCUUGCGCUGGGUCCAGAAUGUGGAUGGUGUGUUCAAGAGGAUUUCAUUUCAGGUGGAUCAAGAAGUGAACGUUGUGAUAUUGUUUCCAAUUUAAUAAGCAAAGGCUGCUCAGUUGAUUCAAUAGAAUACCCAUCUGUGCAUGUUAAAAUACCCACUGAAAAUGAAAUUAAUACCCAGGUGACACCAGGAGAAGUGUCUAUCCAGCUGCGUCCAGGAGCCGAAGCUAAUUUUAUGCUGAAAGUUCAUCCUCUGAAGAAAUAUCCUGUGGAUCUUUAUUAUCUUGUUGAUGUCUCAGCAUCAAUGCACAAUAAUAUAGAAAAAUUAAAUUCUGUUGGAAACGAUUUAUCUAGAAAAAUGGCAUUUUUCUCCCGUGACUUUCGUCUUGGAUUUGGCUCAUACGUUGAUAAAACAGUUUCACCAUACAUUAGCAUCCACCCCGAAAGGAUUCAUAAUCAAUGCAGUGACUACAAUUUAGACUGCAUGCCUCCCCAUGGAUACAUCCAUGUGCUGUCUUUGACAGAGAACAUCACUGAGUUUGAGAGAGCAGUUCAUAGACAGAAGAUCUCUGGAAACAUAGAUACACCAGAAGGAGGUUUUGACGCCAUGCUUCAGGCAGCUGUCUGUGAAAGUCAUAUCGGAUGGCGAAAAGAGGCUAAAAGAUUGCUGCUGGUGAUGACAGAUCAGACAUCUCAUCUCGCUCUUGAUAGCAAAUUGGCAGGCAUAGUGGUGCCCAAUGACGGAAACUGCCAUCUGAAAAACAACGUCUACGUCAAAUCGACAACCAUGGAACAUCCCUCACUAGGCCAACUUUCAGAGAAAUUAAUAGACAACAACAUUAAUGUCAUCUUUGCAGUUCAAGGAAAGCAAUUUCAUUGGUAUAAGGAUCUUCUACCCCUCUUGCCGGGCACCAUUGCUGGUGAAAUAGAAUCAAAGGCUGCAAACCUCAAUAAUUUGGUAGUGGAAGCCUAUCAGAAGCUCAUUUCAGAAGUGAAAGUUCAGGUGGAAAACCAGGUACAAGGCGUCUAUUUUAACAUUACCGCCAUCUGUCCAGACGGGUCCAGAAAGCCAGGCAUGGAAGGAUGCAGAAACGUGACGAGCAAUGAUGAAGUAUGUGGGUGUGCAUUUUUCCCUUUUAAAAUAAACUAAGUUGUCUGGCAUACUUUCUUACAGAAAAA